Molecule: ribosomal RNA, 646 nt
Filed under: Cortinarius muscigenus
Lineage: Eukaryota; Fungi; Basidiomycota; Agaricomycetes; Agaricales; Cortinariaceae
Description: eukaryotic LSU rRNA
Rfam family: Eukaryotic large subunit ribosomal RNA
Source: RNAcentral
GUGACCUCAAAUCAGGUAGGACUACCCGCUGAACUUAAGCAUAUCAAUAAGCGGAGGAAAAGAAACUAACAAGGAUUCCCCUAGUAACUGCGAGUGAAGCGGGAAAAGCUCAAAUUUAAAAUCUGUCAGUCUUUGGCUGUCCGAGUUGUAAUCUAGAGAAGUGUUAUCCGCGCUGGACCGUGUACAAGUCUCCUGGAAUGGAGCGUCAUAGAGGGUGAGAAUCCCGUCUUUGACACGGACUGCCAGGGCUUUUGUGAUGCGCUCUCAAAGAGUCGAGUUGUUUGGGAAUGCAGCUCAAAAUGGGUGGUAAAUUCCAUCUAAAGCUAAAUAUUGGCGAGAGACCGAUAGCGAACAAGUACCGUGAGGGAAAGAUGAAAAGAACUUUGGAAAGAGAGUUAAACAGUACGUGAAAUUGCUGAAAGGGAAACGCUUGAAGUCAGUCGCGUCAUUCAGGGAUCAACCUUGCUUUUGCUUGGUGUACUUUCUGGUUGACGGGUCAGCAUCAAUUUUGACCAUUGGAAAAAGAUUAAGGGAAUGUGGCAUACAUAGUGAUGUGUUAUAGCCCUUGGUUGCAUACAAUGGUUGGGAUUGAGGAACUCAGCACGCCGCAAGGCCGGGUUUUUAUUAACCACGUACGUGCUAGGAU